UCAGCAGAUGCUGGCGCAAGGAAGCACCGACACGGGAGCUGCUCUGCAGAGGUUGAACGCAGAGACUGCAAAGUCCAUAGAAAACAUGAAGGCCAGGGUCCAGCAGAAA
RNAcentral lists this non-coding RNA (109 nucleotides) under Chloropicon mariensis. Lineage: Eukaryota; Viridiplantae; Chlorophyta; Chloropicophyceae; Chloropicales; Chloropicaceae. The record is from RNAcentral.